Molecule: ribosomal RNA, 447 nt
Filed under: uncultured bacterium
Lineage: Bacteria
Description: partial 16S ribosomal RNA
Rfam family: Bacterial small subunit ribosomal RNA
Source: RNAcentral
AACGAACGCUUGCGGCAGGAUUAACACAUGCAAGUCGAGCGCCCCGCAAGGGGAGCUGCAGACGGGUGAGUAACACGUGGUAAUCUACCCAUCCCUACGGAACAACUCCGGGAAACGGGAGCUAAUACCCGAUACGCCCUGUGGGGGAAAGAUUUAUUGGGGAUGGAUGAGCCCGCGUUGGAUUAGCUAGUUGGUGGGGUAAAGGCCUACCAAGGCGACGAUCUAUAGCUGGUCUGAGAGGAUGAUCAGCCACAUUGGGACUGAGACACGGCCCAAACUCCUACGGGAGGCAGCAGUGGGGAAUAUUGGACAAUGGGCGCAAGCCUUAUCCAGCCAUGCCGCGUGAAUGAUGAAGGCCUUAGGGUUGUAAAGUUCUUUCACCGAUGAAGAUAAUGACGGUAGUCGGAGAAGAAGCCCCGGCUAACUUCGUGCCAGCCGCCGCCGUAA